UUUUUAUUUAUUUAACUUGAUAUUUGUAAUGUAUAUUAUGAUAGUUUAAAAAAAAAACAAUUCGUGAAAAUUUGCUGUAUCCAAAAACGCUAAACAAAUAAUAUAGCGUACUAAAAAAAAGGUUGGAACAUGGAGAGACAGUCUCUUUGUUCCUCUUUUGGGUUGUCGGAAUCGAGGAUGGGUCGGAAGUUUGUCUUUGUUCUUGGUCUGGUUAAGUCUGUUGUUGUGAGUUUCAGUCUCUGUAAGGGGAAGAUUGGUUGUUUGGGCUCUUAAAUUGUUGAUUCAGUUUGAUUCGAUGGUUGGUGGAAGAAAGAUUGGGGGGGAUUCGACUCAGGGAUGUAAGGAUCCUGUUGGGUGAUAUCUUCGUUUGCUCAGGUUCUAAUAUUAAAUCUGAUUUCGUCUGCAGUCUUGGGUAUCAAGGUGAGGAUUUUUUGGAGAUGUAGUUAUGGAAAUUAUAGUCUUAAUCUUUGGUGGUCUAUUUGUAGGGGAUAUUCAGAGAUUCGGUGAUAGGAUUUGUUUUAGAAAUUUUUGUGAUUCGAAUAUUUCUUCUUUUUCAAGGUUGAGAUUGGGUUGUAGAAUGGAUAUUUAUUCAGUGAAUUGGGUUACUAUGAUGCAUCAAUCAUAAGGUUUUUUGUCCAUUGGUUGUAUCUGAGAGUUGUAGUCUAAUCAGAGUGGUGAUUUUUUCUAGUAGGUGAGUGUCGGUGUUGUGGUUUCUGUAGCGUAUUAUGACUCAACUAGCGCUUAACAAGGGCAAAGCUUUUUGGUUUGUACUUAAACGGUGAAGAUUUUAAACUCUGUCUUGGCUCAAAGAAUUCAUCAAUUUUCUCUAACUUGGGAGGUUGAUGAAUCCGACCAUCCAUAGGAUGAAUUCUUUGGUGGCCAACCUGCCUAGGAUAUGGAAGCUUGAGAAUAGAGUGGUGGGGGAUGAUCUAGGGCAGGGAAUUUUUCUGUUCAACUUUGAAGCAUAAGAUGAUCUUCAGUCUGUGAUGCAGAACGGUCCUUACCAUUUUGAUGGUUGCAUGGUUUCUCUGCUAAGGUAGGAGCCUAUCAUUUUGUCUACUUAUCCAUCUGCUAUCAAUUUUUGGUGAAGGUUGUUGGUAUUCUUAUGCACCUUUGGGAGGUAGAAACCUUAGAAGCAAUCGAUAAGAAGGUUGGUUUAAUCUGGGAGCUAGACGAGGAGUCUAGAAGUAUAUGUGUUAACGUUAAUGGCUUUAAUCCCUUUCUCUUCCAGAUUGGUGGUGCCUUUUGAUACUGGUGAUGAAGUUAUCGUUUCUCUUGAAUAUUAGAAAUUGAUGAGAUUCUAUGAGCAGUGUUCUAGAUUGACUCAUGAGACGAGAACUUAUCCUAAGUUAAAUAAGGUUACUGGUGGUCAUGUUUUUGAGGAGCAAUCCGAUAAGAGGGGUGGUCAGAGGCAAUAAUCUUUGGUUAAGCAAGGGUCGCAAUAUAAUGACAUUUUGUGGGAGAAACCAAUGAAGAAACGAUUCAGGGUCUGGUUCGGGGUCAGAAGAGGAACCUCGAUGAGGAUGAGUCUAGUGAGGCUGGAGGAAAGAGAGGGUCUCAGGCUGUUGGCAGGGAUUCGUUGGGUCAGGUUCUUACUUUUCAUCUCAGCAGAAAGGGGGCUGGGCCGGUUUGGCCUAAACCUUUGUACAAGGCUAAACAAAAUUCAAAUGAGAAGAGGUCGCAGGCUGUUGAUCGUGAUGCUUCUUCGGUUUCAGAGGUUGGAGGUUCUCAGGUGGACUUGGUAAUGGAGAAUUCUCCAAAUUAGGGAGCUGGUAAGGUCUCUGUUCGUUUGGAAUUUUUGGAAGAAACAUAUGAUUUGCUUGAAGAGGGUGAGUAUUAUGAUGGUGUUAUCUCAUAGAACGUUGGUGUUGAACCUGAUCUAGGGACAGCUCUUCUUGGUGAGGAUGCUAGUAAUCCGCAAGGUAACUCUUCUUCUUCUGUUCCGAUAGAGUUGGGUAUGGGUAAUGUAAAUAGGGCUAUGCUGGCUGUUAAUAUAGGGAAUCAGACUGGUAACAGAGUGAAGAUUAAUAGCCCUAAUGUUAUGAAGGUGUUAGUGGUAUUAGGAAAUCUGCUUUGUCUUUGGCUUCUCCGGGGAAACGGUUACUUGCUAAGGCCUUGUCUAACCUGCAGGUGAUGGCAACAAACAGAGGGUGAUGGGUAAACAUGUGUAUAAAGUAACAGACGGUAAAACUUCUGGUGGAGUUUGUCAAGUUAAGAAAGGGAUGGUGACGCUCUCGAAACCACCAGCUCAAACAUGAAGAUAAAAAAAUGUUAUUCUUUUACAAACGUUUUGUUAUAAUAAGUUGUAUACUAUUAAGCCACGCGGGUCUAACGAAGGUUAGCUUUAUUUUUCAUGGAAGAAAUAAACUUUUUAUUCUUUACGAUU
Camelina sativa (false flax) is the source of this 2386-nucleotide non-coding RNA. Lineage: Eukaryota; Viridiplantae; Streptophyta; Magnoliopsida; Brassicales; Brassicaceae. The record is from RefSeq and is a predicted model, not a curated record.